RNAcentral lists this long non-coding RNA (1322 nucleotides) under Elaeis guineensis (African oil palm). RNAcentral describes it as "long non-coding RNA (EGUI_LNC075708)". Lineage: Eukaryota; Viridiplantae; Streptophyta; Magnoliopsida; Arecales; Arecaceae. The record is from RNAcentral.
UUGGUGAUCAUCUGAUGCCGAUACAAACUGAUGUUUGGGUCCAGAUAUCAGCCAAGAUGACUUGUUGCUUGGUCUGUGGAAUUGAUGAUGAAACCAAUAUCCAAUACAAUGACUUUGGUUGACAAUUGUUAGUCUAAACCUAUGUAUAAAUAUUAGUAAUAUGAGGCUGAGGAACUGUAAAAGAGUCAAAAUGUGGGUGUGAACACAAAAAAGAGACUACCAAACAAAUGGAAAUGGACAGAGAUCGGGGAGGCUAAGGAAGUCAAUAUGGUGAAAGGAGGAGCAAUUAUGAAUGGAAGCAUGGUGAAAAAGAAGUGUAAUAACAUCUGUGUAUGGAGUCUUAAUCAUUUUAGACUAGUAAAAAUUUAGCUUUAUGUUCAAGACUAUAGAAACAUAUGCAAAAAAAUAAGGAGGAUGCUUUGGACAGUUAACACGUGGAGGAGAGCCAUAUAAAUACAACUGAAUAGUCAGAAUAUUAAAGUAGUGAAAAGCCCCAACAAGGGGAGGAGAAAGGCCUGCUGUGGCUCAGAAAAUAUAGUGUUUGUUAUGGUAAACUAUGAGGAAGGCAACUCAAAUAAAGAUUAGCAGAAAAUAGAGAGUGAACAAUUUCAAGGAUAUAGUGGCACUUUAAACUGCCAAUUUGUCAAUUUGUGUGCUGACAUGUAAGCUGAGUUAAUGGUGCAUUUAGAAAGGAGUAAAAACUGGAUCUUAGGACAGGUACUAAACUAUAAAUUAUGUUGAUGGUGCUUAAAUUAAAAAUAUGCAAAGCACAAAUCCUGAAAAUAUAAUUAAAUUUCUUAAAUGGAAUGAAUUUCAGUAAUAUUGUUGACAGUACAUUAAUAAGAAGAGUAACUAUUGGCCUUUUAUUCUGGAAAAAAGAUUCCAAAUGGUGAUGAUUCUAUUGAAUAACCAAGUCUUGUCACGCCUCCGUCCCAAGAUGACAAGCUAGGGGUCAUGGCAAUCAUCGCACACUCAUAGAAAACUUUUCUCAUAAGCAUGCAAGGUCAUGAUAUCUUGAACAGACAGCAGAAUAAAAAGAAAGAUUGAAUUAUUAAUGCUCAAACCUUAAUUCAAAUAACUAAAAUCAAAACUGAAUGUUAAUGAAAUCAAAAUAAAUGUUUGACAAAGUCAAUAUUAACAAGGUCUUUCAUCAACUCUGAUAAUCCUAAAUCAAAUAAAGUAGGCUAACUCCAUCUAUAAUCGCAUUUCCAUAAUGAAACCCCACGUCAAGCUAAUUUUUGAAUCUGUAAAAAAAAUAAGAAAUUCAUCGUGAGCUAAACAACAAAGUAGGCAAUGAAUACCUCUAACUAAAUAAAUCAGGC